AUCUACGGCCAUGCUACCCUGAACAAGCCUGAUCCCGUCUGAUCUCGGAAGCUAAGCAGGGUUGGGCCUGGUUAGUACUUGGAUGGGAGACCACCUAGGAAGACCAGGUGCUGUAGGUG
RNAcentral lists this ribosomal RNA (119 nucleotides) under Pteropus alecto (black flying fox). The record is from RNAcentral. Lineage: Eukaryota; Metazoa; Chordata; Mammalia; Chiroptera; Pteropodidae.